Long non-coding RNA from Macaca mulatta (Rhesus monkey), 728 nucleotides. RefSeq lists it as uncharacterized. The record is from RefSeq and is a predicted model, not a curated record. Lineage: Eukaryota; Metazoa; Chordata; Mammalia; Primates; Cercopithecidae.
UACCAACUCUGACACUUUAGCCCAGACCCCAAAAGGAGAUGAGUAACGUCCCGCUCUCACUAUGUGCACCUUGAUAGUCCAGGGUCUCAGGCAUGGACGUCGUUCCUCCAGUUGUAAAUGUAAUUAUUGUGAACAUCUCUCAUGCAAAACUGUCAGGGAAUGAGAAAGAAAAAGAAAAAAAUGGGUUAAUACAUGCCUACAAAACAUCUGGAAGAGGAUCUGGGAGGGUCCAAGCAACAAACCACGCGGCGUUCUCUGGAGGCUGAGCUGGGACGAGUAGGCGGAAACAGCCUCAGAAACCUAGACCACCACCAAAUGGAUCUGCUGGCACGUAGACCUCAGAAAAAAGGAAACUGAGGACUGAACUCUGACCGCUAUUUCUUGUUCUACAUUUUUUCUUGAAGGACCUGAAGGAAGUCACGCCCAUGGGCCAGACCUAACGUUCUUUUCUGCUAACUCCUAGUUUUUAAAUAGAGCUUCCCUUCCUUAACCAAUCGCAAAUCAGAAAAUUUUUGAAUUCCCCUGUAACCUGUAAGCCCCUACUUCAAGAUAUCCUGUGUGUUAAGGUCAAACCAAUAGGUAGCCUCCAUGUGUCGACUUAUGACUUUGCGUGUAACCUCUGCCUGCCUGCCUUUAGAAAGAAACCGUUGCUUGCAAGCCUUUGGGAAGGUCAGGUGAGCUGCCUGAUUCUCCUUGCUGGGUGCCCUGCAAAUAAACACCCUGUUUCC